AAAAAGACAAGCUUUGAUUCAUGGGCCAGAGGAUCAGUGAAUGGGGAAGACAGCCCGUGAAGACAGGGACCAAGUCUCUUAGUUGCCUCUACUGGUCUUGAAUGAAAGAACAAGGGAAUUUUUACGGUGUCAGAUCUGGUUCCUAGUGGCGGAAUGUGAACCUCAAGAGGACAGCCCCCCCCUUGUCUAAGGGCACUUGGCGUUGAAUGAAUGGAGAUGCUGCCUGCUGUUUCCCCAGGAUGCCCGCAACGGCUGCCUCGGUCCUGUGCUGGAAAAGGGCAGAACCUGAGGACUAGAGAAGUUCAGCAGUUAGCCCAAGAACGCAGCAGCAGAGCUGGGCCCAAGAUGGGGUUCUCUGCACUUCCUGUGAGAUCGGGCUGCUCCGUCCACCUGCCAGCCAUCGGGAGCUGUCCCAGGAUCCUCCCUGUGGAGAAGGCCCUCUGCGCUCGCAGGCCCUGUGGAGAAGCAGGAAGAUCCUCCCAGAAGAGCAGCCAGCGAAGCCUCCUCUCCUGCCACGGUCCCAAGUCCCCUCCUCACAGCUUCCCUCUGCAGAGCCAGCCCCCAGUGACCAGGUCUCCUCUCCCUGGGACCACUGGGACACCGCUUGGCAACUGACCUAUAUUCCUCUCCAGCGCUAUUUGCCGCCUGAG
This is a long non-coding RNA of Lontra canadensis (Northern American river otter), 650 nucleotides long. RefSeq lists it as uncharacterized. The record is from RefSeq and is a predicted model, not a curated record. The transcript has 4 exons. NCBI's taxonomy places the organism in Eukaryota, Metazoa, Chordata, Mammalia, Carnivora, Mustelidae.